UUUGCCUAAAUGAUGACAGGUGCAGAAACUAAGCACUAGGGGUACCUGUUUGAAGCCAGGCAAU
This is a regulatory RNA element of Lepisosteus oculatus (spotted gar), 64 nucleotides long. It matches the Rfam family "Selenocysteine insertion sequence 1". From Rfam's summary of the family: The incorporation of selenocysteine into a protein sequence is directed by an in-frame UGA codon (usually a stop codon) within the coding region of the mRNA. Selenoprotein mRNAs contain a conserved secondary structure in the 3' UTR that is required for the distinction of UGA stop from UGA selenocysteine. The selenocysteine insertion sequence (SECIS) is around 60 nt in length and adopts a hairpin structure which is sufficiently well-defined and conserved to act as a computational screen for selenoprotein genes. Lineage: Eukaryota; Metazoa; Chordata; Actinopteri; Semionotiformes; Lepisosteidae. The record is from Rfam.